UCCCUCUCUCCUUCUCUCUUUCACUCUGGAAAGCUCAACUUCCGGCCAUCGACUUUUGGCACCGCCACCAUCACCACCACCACCACCACCAAAAGAUAGCCUAGUUCUAGUUUUGAUUUGGCUAUCAGAUAAUCCUUCUCUCUCUUCUUUAUCAGAUUUCAAAACCAAAACGAAGAAGGAGCCCUCGUCAAAAUGACAAAACCUAAACUGAAGUCGCCAUCUCUCUCUCUCUCUCUCUCUCUCUCUCGGGCACGGGCCCUCUCCCUCUCAGCCUCUAUCCUCGACGGUUCGAUUUCUUUUACAACAAAAAGAAUGACUAGAGCUUUUGGGAACCCAUUAAUCCGACACAAGUUAAUUGAGGCUAUCCAGUUCAAAAGAUAAACAAGCUCAAGCGCUCUGGUUUUGUUAACUGUGCUGAGAAGGCUAGGAGUGAAGGGCGUGGAGAUAAAGAAACCAGAGCAGCUCAAAACCAUGGCCUCACUCAUAAUCCUUGUAGGAGAGAGCACCACCAUGGCUAAGCUUGCCGAGAACCACAACCUGGUCUUUCUAUCACUCACCCAAACAGUCUCUAUUAUUUGUUGAUUUGUUUAAAGCUUUUUACUUUAUUACUCCCGGGCUCAAUAUGUAUAUGCCUGCUUCUACAAUUGUCGAUACUUUUAGUAUAUCAGUAAAUGGGGAUUAGAUGAA
Long non-coding RNA from Rosa chinensis, 687 nucleotides. RefSeq lists it as uncharacterized. The transcript is spliced from 2 exons. The record is from RefSeq and is a predicted model, not a curated record. NCBI's taxonomy places the organism in Eukaryota, Viridiplantae, Streptophyta, Magnoliopsida, Rosales, Rosaceae.